This is a long non-coding RNA of Astatotilapia calliptera (eastern happy), 785 nucleotides long. The record is from Ensembl. Lineage: Eukaryota; Metazoa; Chordata; Actinopteri; Cichliformes; Cichlidae.
AGAACAACGAAGACCCGAUCCGUAACUAUACAUAUUUCUACAGCAAGUUUAACCCUACCAUUGGAUUCAAGAUCAAGCCAGAAGAGGUAUCCAAUCUUCUCCCAGAAUGCUUUUCUGAGAAGCAUAUUAGGGUUUACUGGAAGAGACGUAAUGAUAAGCGUCUGGAAGAUGCAAAGAAGUGCUUCGAGGCUGUGAAAAAGGAGGUGGAGGAGAAUUAGAGUGACGUCAAAAAAGCAACACCAGGAGACGCCCAGUGAAUCUGAAGAUGUUAAACAUUCAGACACUAAGUUUUAAUGAUACUGCAGAGAUUCUGAAACAGGAAUUUAAAUCAUAAAAGUUAAGUACUUUGUCUAUUUUACAAUAUCUUCUUUUUGUUUUUUGUCUUUUAUUUUAACUAAGUGGUUUAGUUUGGAAAUUAAAUAUAACCAAUAUAUUUACAUAGUGAAUGAUUUGUAAAUCUUCCACAUCUCCAGUUGAUAUGGUUUUGUGGUUAGCAAGGCUUUUUUACUUUCUUCAAUAUGUAUCAAUGUGAAGUAAGAACCUAAAAUCUAAAACAAGUCAUGUAUUGAAUAAACUAUAUAUCACGCAAUUUUCACUAUUAUAUUAUAUCAUAUAGCUCAGCUCUGAUCAAUAUAUGGUUAAGACAAGCAUUGGGUAUUCUUGUGAGUUUUGACUGUGUGAAAAUUUAUUCUUUAUUAUGUAAUGGGUCUCUAAAUGAAAACCUACCAAAGGUUAAUUGAAACUUUUAGCUGUUUUACUGUUUAGAUGUGUUUGUUGAUUUCUGG